Molecule: long non-coding RNA, 6836 nt
Filed under: Prunus persica (peach)
Lineage: Eukaryota; Viridiplantae; Streptophyta; Magnoliopsida; Rosales; Rosaceae
Description: long non-coding RNA (PPER_LNC002318)
Source: RNAcentral
AUAAUUUGAUGACUCCAUGCAUAGAUGGGCCCCACUUUACUCCCAACAACAUCGUCUGUCCUUAAAUAGGCUGUUCGUGUUGUGGGAUCAGCAUCUUAGUGUGAACGUGAGACUUUUAACACAAGGAAUUUCUCCCCUUUGAUCAGGAACCAUAUAUCCCAAAAAUUAAAACAUUGUUAUAAAUCUAGUGAGAAAAUGGAGAGGAAAUUGAGAGAGAGAGAAGAGAAUGUUUUCUCAUUCAUUAUUGUCAUUUCUCUUAGUAUUAUCAAUCUGAUAUCUAUAGGCAAGGAAAUGUGAUGCCCGUGAAUGUGCAAUAACUUCAUGCACCAAAUAGUAAGUGGGCUCCACCUUCUUGACUUUUACAACACUCCCCCUUGGAGACCACAAAUGAUAUGGAAUAUGCCUCGUUAAAAACCUUGCCAGUAAAAACCCAGUGGGAUAAAAAAAAACUGGUCAAAGGGAAAAAGAGUACAUAAUGAUGUGUAACAUAAAAUUCUGUGUAUAUUGACGCGCGUGCGACACUGCCUCAUUAAAACCUUGCCAGGAAAAACCCAGUGGGAUAAAAAACUGGACGAAGGAAAAAGAGUACAGUGUUUGAAGAUCUUUAUUGAUAGCACGCUCCCCCUGAUGCUUGGCAAAAUAUCUUUGAGUCAAACUGGUUAUCACCUUUCUGGAUAUCGUAGUUGACACUGCUUCUGUGAGUCAAUUGUGAGCGACACUGCCUCGUUAAAACCUUACCAGGAAAAACCCAGUGGGAUAAAAACCUGGAUGAAGGAAAAAGAGUACAGUGUAUGAAGGUCUUUAUGAAAACCAUGCUCCCCCUGAUGAAUAUCUCCCCCGGAAAAAUUUAGGACUAGCUUUUGUCCAGGAAGCGACCAUAAAAAUUUCCAAAGUCUGCAUAUCUAAUAACACUUGGGCUAUUUGUAAGUUCACUCAAAAAUAUGCCCGUAUAUGGUGUUAUGCUGAGAUAGCAUCAAAUAUACCUCACAUCAUCCCAAAAUGAUGGUGAUGGAGUUGAGCUCUAUCUGGAAAAUACGAUGUACGGUCCAUUAUACUUCUGGAAAAUCUGUAAAGUGUCCAACGGAUAAUCCUCAUAAAAAUGCUUCAAUACUUUCUUAGUAUAAGCAAGAAUCUCGUUGGCAUAAUGCUCGAUCGAGACAAAUAUUUCAUGAAUUCUGCAGAAGCUUUAAUGUGUUGCAAUCACAUGAUAAUCAAUGUACUCACUGAGGUAAUUUAUGCAUAUUAAUAUUGAGUACAAAUUUUGUGCUUCAAGCACAUGUCCUUUAGGGACUUGCUUUAUGCAAUGUCAAUCCUCUCAACGGAUUUUGUUUAAAAGGGGAUUAAACUUUAUGACACAUUAUAUAGCUUUAACCCAGCUAUUUAUACAUCUUUAGGGAAUCACUUCAGGUGAUAUGCUCUGUGCAUUUAAUAACCCUUAAAGAUAACAUGUUGGUCUCCGUAAUUGUGCAGUAAGGGGGGAGGCACAAUUGAAUCUGUAAAUAUGAAAAGACCCAACAUUCAUUGUUUCUGCCAGAAACAUUGUGUCAUACAAAGUAGGUAUAUUCCCUUUUAUUCCGAACACCCAAGUAUAAAUUUCAAUAUGAACAUCUUUUGGGGUUCGUCCUGUGGGUUUGUUCUUUCACGUUCAUUCUCAUCUAUAAUGGAAUUACCUCUUUCCAUUUUGGCCAAUGAUAUUGUCGACAUUUAAUAAUUGAACGUGGUUCCAAUCAACACAGCCCAUUGAUGAUUUGAGUAGCUACUCCAAAACCAAAAAUUGUCAUUCAUCAAUUCAUGAUCCCACCAUUCUCAUGUGCAUACGCAUGCAUCAAUUAUAAGCAUUGCUUUGCUUUUGGGUACCCAAGCCACUUCAUGGGGCUUUUAUUAUGUGGGAAUGUGGAUUAUAACCUCCAUUGGAGCGUUAUUUAGUAGUAGGGCAUGGAUAAUCUCCAUUUAGGGAGUUGGAACAUUUAGAACCCAUAUAUCUGUCAUGCUGCAGGCAUGCCACAGAUUAAUACAUACAUGUCAAUUAGUUUAUGGGGCUUUAACCCAUAUGAUGGGACUUUAACCCAUAUGAUGGGACUUUAACCCAUAUAAUUUGCUACGCAUUCGGCGUGCACAAUAUCAAUAUUGACAUGUCAAAGGAUUGUCCAUUCGGGACUUCAAUCCACAUCAUUUGCUACGCAACAGGCGUGCAUCAUAUUGAUCACUGCUAUACCCAUAUUCUGUUCUUAUGGGACUUUAAUCUGUGCAGUGUAUUAUCAAUGUAUCCAACUUACAAUCUGUUAAAUUUGCAUUAAUAAUUCAUGGAUACAUACAAGCCAUUCUGUUGGAACAGACUUAUCUCCCCAUUUGGUUACCUUGCAAGAUAAAAUAUCAAAUAGGUAUAUAAGCAUAAAAUAACACAAGUAUUGCUUACAUCCUUAGGUGGGAGAAACUUUUCUCAAGUAUCAUUCAAGCGCGUAUCGGCCCAGUAAAAAUAUCGCUUGAUGAUCUUGUUAUAUCCUGCAAGAGCAAAAAUCACAAUUCUUUUCUCUGUCAAAAACAAAUAACUCUCAGAGUUAGGAUCACUAAGUAUAGAGAAAACUGGAUGUCUUCUGCAAAGAAAAUUUCGUUAGUAACACAUUUAUACACAAAUACAAUGAAUAGGUAGAACCGGUGAAUUUCAAAUUAACCAUAGGAAAAUUGCGAGAUUCUCGGGAUACUUUUGAAAAAGUAGCUCCGUGAAAUCCGUAAAGCAAGAUCGGCUUUGAAAAUAAUACUUGAAAACGCCGAAAGUGCCGACAGGCAUUAUUAGAGGCCACGUGAAGUUUUGGACUCUAGGAAAGAAAAAGAUAAUAUGGGGAUUCGAGAAGAUAUUGGGGUCCUGAAAAACAGUAGCCAUAUUUCCUCCUAUAGAUAUGGCCGUUGCAAAACUUGAUUGGAGCAACUGCGUUUCAACUCAAAUUUCUUCAUUUUCUGAAACUUUAGUUUUCCUAAGACUUUCUUCGAAACCUUCUCAAAAAUGGCUUCCUCUUCUUCCUGCCCAAAUUAUUUCAAUUUAAAUGAUGCUCCAACAGCAACCAGUGACGCCAAAGUUUGGCAUCCAUCCUUUGUAUCCCAAAAUCGUCAUCUCACAGUUAAUGAUUCUGUGAUGAUGAAUGAUGCUACUGCUGUCAUAGUAGCUAGGAAUUUCAUCACUCCAAUGGAUGAAAUGCUGUUAACAGGGAGGUCUGAGGAAGAGGCUAUUGAUGACUCAAUGGCUUUUAGCAUUCAGAGUGCUGCUUCUGUUUCUAACAUGGCUGAUCGUUUGCGUACUAGAGCAAACGAGGUUGAGAAGCUGACAACUGAAAAUUCGUCUCUUCAAAGAAUGCUUCAUGAGUCUCAACAGGAGGUUGAGAAACUUAAAGGAGAGAAUAAUUCCUUGUUGAAACUGGUGAGUUCGUACUCAGUUGAUACACUGAGAAGGCUAGACAUGCUGCAGGUCUCCAAUGAAAGGAUUUUGGGAGACCACGAGAAGCUCAUGGCUAAGCUUAAGAGGCGCCGUCCUCUUCCUUCAGAGGCUUCUAGAACAUAAUGGAUUUUUAUAGAUUUUACAGGGCCUGCACCUUGAUUGCAGGUGGAAAAAUCUAUCUGUUAUAUGUUCCUGUAAUAAUAAUAGCGCACAUUCUAAAACUUGCACCUGUGGUUUUUACGUCUUUUCAAAAUGACGGUUUGGAACCUUGUGCCUUAUAGGUUCAAAUAACCACAUCAAAUCUCUCAAAUUACAUAUUUCCAUGCAUGUGAGCCCGGAACUUUUGGCCUGGGCACAAACUCAGAAUUGAUUUGCCCUUUUCAAAUGAAAUAUGAAUUGAGUAAAAGCCAUGAUAAUAUCGCAAUAUAGUAGUGAAGAGCAUUAACUACUAUAUACCCACAACUUCAAGUUCAGGAUCUCUCAUAUAUUUGGAUCCAUGGGCUUCCGGCCCAGAUAUAAUAAAAUAUGUGGGGAGCCUCAAUUCAUUAUUUGAGGUUUAUAUUGAUAUUAUCCAUUUCGCGGUGUAUUCUUAACAACCGGAAUUCACAAAGUAUAUUUCUUCCUUGAGGUGUCGAUUAUAACAAAAUCGAACUUUAUUAAAUUCAUCAUCUUCUUAUGCCAAAGAAAUAUGUGGCAUACCACAAUUUGCAAUAAUACCUCAAGGGUUGUCCAUUUAAUUGUUGGAACUUCAGGUUCUCAACACUGUUAAAUUUUGAACUUCAGGCCAAAAUCACAUAUUCUCAUGGUAUGGACAUUUUUACAAUUUUCUGUACAUAUGUCUGGACUUCAAGCCCUUACAUAAUUGUCCAUAUUUUGAGGAACUUCUGGCAUCUCAUUUAAUUGCUCAUCCAUGAGUUUAAGGAACUGCAGGUUCCCUUUUUGAAUAUAGUGACGAUUUACCCAAAAUGGUUAAUAUUUAUGUAUACGUCACUAUUCAUGUGAAUAGUACUAUUCAUCAAGUCAUGAAUACGUAUCUAUUCAUCUGCCAGUACAGUUAUCAUCCAUGUGUACGGCAUUAUGAACCAAUACGGUACUGUUACAUCAUUAAGGAACUCCAGGUUCUUAUUUACAUGUCAGGGAUCAAGGACCCUCAAGUCCGAUCACAUGUUUACAAAUACAGUACCGGAGAGACUGCCAGCUCUCAUUUUAAUAUCAUCAUCAAGGAUCUUCAAGUCCUGAUAUAAAUUGUAUGAUGAGGAUCAAGGAACUUCUGGUCCUGAUCUGCAUACUGUAAAAACUCAUCAUACAGCACAAUUAAUCCAUAAAAUAAAUUACUGGUAAAUAAAUUACUGGUAUGGACGAUAAACCCGCACCAUACUUUAAAUAAAAGUAAAUGUGCAGUAAAGUAAAUUCAUAAAGUAUGAGGGUCAAUUCUCAUCAUACUUUAAGGAAAAGGUAAAUUUGCGAUAAAGUAAAGGCAAUUAUUGGUGGGUUCUUAUCAACACCACGAUCAAAUAAUAUAUAUGAUGUCAUCUGGAAUUGCCUCCCCUUUUUUUUUCUUCGGUGGAAUUCCUCUCAAAGCUAGAGGAAAUAGGAAACAAUAUAAUAUUAUUACAUUAAUAUAUGUAAUUAGAAAAGUUGAGACAAACCAUAGUGCUCGUCAACCUUCACGUUUGUCUCCUCCCCUUUUUUUGUCUUCGGUGGAAUUCCUCUCAAAGCUAGAGGAAAUAGGAAACAAUAGAAUAUUAUUACAUUAAUAUAUGUAAUUAGAAAAGUUGAGACAAACCAUAGUGCUCGUCAACCUUCACGUUUGUCUGCUCCAUAAUUUCGUAAAUAAAAUUGAUGAACAUGAACCUGCAGAAGUUCCUCCUGUACACCUCCACUUGCUUUUUAUGAUCAAUAUAAUUGUAUAAUAUUAAAGGUAAAAUAGGAUAAAGAAAAACAGAGAACUUAUCUCUUUUCCUCAGACCCACUGCUUCCACUUGCCUGACAAAAACUAUUCCAACUUAUAGAUCUGACUUAGACCUUUACUUCUGCCGACAGUUAUGAACUGUUUCAUCCAGUUCCUCCAUGUCUGAGUGCUGCGCAGAAGAGAGCAAGUUCCAGUGGGAGAGUUGCGCCCCCAACUCAAAUUCCAAGGUGGCCAAUGACUCGGCAGAUAGGAGAGGAAGGUAAGAGAGAGUCUCGAACUUCUUCAAUCCAAUUAGAGACCACUCUCUCUUUCUCUAAGCUUCAGAAGCCGCGAUUCCAAGACCUCGCCGUUUAAGCUCACGGUUCCUUCCAAGCUUCCCUUCGCGAUCCGAUUCGCCAGAGCGUCAACGACUUGCCCGACCCGCUCGCGCCGAGAACCGCGAGUAUCUCUCCUUCCCGAGCUUCUCCAGAGAUGUCGUUGAGCAGCGUCUUCGUUCUUGUGAACAGGCCAUUGACAAGAUUCCCUUGUGCCUCCUUGUUAUUGGAAGCAGAGGCCUUGGCAAGCUCAAGAGGUCUCAGCUGGGUUCGUCGGAAUUGCCACCAGUUCCGAUCGGUGAAACCAGUUUUUCCGGCUGCUGUCUGAGAUUGAUCUGCUGAUUGUAGUAGUGGUGGUCCUUGUGGUGGCUGAAGAAGGCGGAGGCCGGAGAUGAAAAGCUAGAGCUGGGUAUGGAUCCGAUUCUGCAAACGGUGCUUCAAGAGGAACUUGAAGAACACGCUGUAGAGCUUAACAGCUACGCUUGGUAUUUCUCUCUUUUUACCGAAGUCCCAUCGUGCUUGUAUAAGUUUGGUCUAUCUUUCAACUUUUCACAUCUAUCUGCUAUGUUUUGUGUGAAUAUGAAUUCGACUCUGUGAUAGAUAUGAAAUCAAUUUCAUAGAGAAUCCAGUGAAAAUUGCUUGCUUGUUGUGUGGCCUGUCAGCUCUGUAGGGAGUAGAAUUGGUUGAGAAAUGAGAGGAGGGCACAUGAGAGAAGACCCAGGAACCACGUCCGGAAUUGGUCUAACUCUUCCCGCUGGUGUUUGAUUUGGGUAGCCAAGUCCUCUGUUAAAAACAGAGAACAAAGCUGAAGAUUGUUGUUGCAGAGAGAAAAGAAGGAUUGAAGGUGAGAUUUCAGUGGCAGCUGAAGUUUCUGAUUUGCAAGAGAGAUCGAACAAAUCUAUGAGCAAACUUGGUUCUGCAGGAUUUGAUCGAAUUUCUCAGCUGGUAUUUUAGAGAUAUUCGUGCUGAUAACGUGUUAUAAAUCUAGUGAGAAAAUGGAGAGGAAAUUGAGAGAGAGAGAAGAGAAUGUUUUCUCAUUCAUUAUUGUCAUUUCUCUUAGUAUUAUCAAUCUGAUAUCUAUAGGCAAGGAAAUGUGAUGCCCGUGAAUGUGCAAUAACUUCAUGCACCAAAUAGUAAGUGGGCUCCACCUUCUUGACUUUUACAACAAACAUAUAUAUAC